GGAGGGUGCAAGCGUUGUUCGGAAUUAUUGGGCGUAAAGAGCGUGUAGGCGGUCCGGUAAGUCAGAUGUGAAAGCCCUGGGCUCAACCCAGGAAGUGCAUUUGAAACUACCAGACUUGAGUACGGGAGAGGAGGGGGGAAUUCCCGGUGUAGAGGUGAAAUUCGUAGAUAUCGGGAGGAAUACCAGUGGCGAAGGCGCCCUCUGGACCGAUACUGACGCUGAGACGCGAAAGCGUGGGGAGCAAACAGGAUUAGAUACCCUGGUAGUCCACGCCGUAAACGAUGAGCACUAGGUGUAGCGGGUAUUGACCCCCCUGCUGUGCCCGUAGCUAACGCAUUAAGUGCUCCGCCUGGGGACUACGGCCGCAAGACUA
RNAcentral lists this ribosomal RNA (373 nucleotides) under uncultured organism. RNAcentral's name for it is "partial 16S ribosomal RNA". It matches the Rfam family "Bacterial small subunit ribosomal RNA", at positions 527 to 896 of the family's 1533-position model. The record is from RNAcentral.